This is a small nucleolar RNA of Chionomys nivalis (European snow vole), 136 nucleotides long. RefSeq annotates it as small nucleolar RNA SNORA70. The transcript has a single exon. The record is from RefSeq and is a predicted model, not a curated record. Lineage: Eukaryota; Metazoa; Chordata; Mammalia; Rodentia; Cricetidae.
UGGCAUUUUGACUGUCAGUUUCUCCCUUUAAGAAUUAAUUAGACAUGGUGUGCAAUGGUUGCAUACAGCAGCCUUCUUGGUAGUGUAUGCAGCCUGUUGCCUGUAUGGGUUGCCCUAAAGGACCUUGGAGACAAUU